CCAUUGGAGCACAGGUCCUUACGGUUCCUUAGCUAAGGAAAAAUGGGCAGAGCAAGCAACUCUGCUUUAUCAGUUCCUUAAAUAAAAUACUAUACUUUCUCUCACAUUCAGUUCCAACAGAUUACAGAGGGAAGAAACAGUGUUAACAGAUUGUAUGAACUAUCACAAUUUUAUUCAAACAAUAAAAAUAGGAAUUAAUUACAAGGCUUCAGAAAAAUAAAUUUUUACAAAGAAAAAUGAAAAAAAAAAUUACAGAAGCUUGUAGAAGGCCUGCAUGUGCUUGAGGGGCGAUCUUGUGGCGGAGGCGGAGGGUGGCGCUUGAAGAAGGCCUGCAUGUCUCCGAUCCAGUGCUUGAGGGGCGAUUUGGGUCCAGAUUGAAGCUUUGGUGGCGGCUGGGGUAAGUUUUGGUUGCGGUGGUGGGUGUUUGGUGGCGAUGAGGAGGCGGUGAGGCGGGUUUGGUGGCGGUGAAGGUUGUUUGGUGGCGGGUCAGUGGCGGUGAGGUGGUUUUGGUUGUGGUUGUGGGUGUUUGGUGGCGGUGAGGUGGGUUUUGUUUGAGGUUGUGGGUGUUUGGUGGCGGUGAGGAGGCGGUGAGGUGGGUUUGGUGGCGGUGAAGGUUGUUUGGUGGCGGGUCAGUGGCGGUGAGGUGGUUUUGGUUGUGGUUGUGGGUGUUUGGGGGCGGAGAGGCGGGUUUUAUUUGAGGUUGUGGGUGUUUGGUGGCGGUGAGGAGGCGGUGAGGAAGAAGAGAAGAGGAAGAAGAAAGGGGAAACAGUGCUAGGGUUAU
RNAcentral lists this long non-coding RNA (781 nucleotides) under Lotus japonicus. RNAcentral's name for it is "long non-coding RNA (LJAP_LNC001732)". Lineage: Eukaryota; Viridiplantae; Streptophyta; Magnoliopsida; Fabales; Fabaceae. The record is from RNAcentral.